RNAcentral lists this ribosomal RNA (54 nucleotides) under uncultured Greenland glacial ice fungus IM1945-1(1). RNAcentral's name for it is "partial 5.8S ribosomal RNA". It matches the Rfam family "5.8S ribosomal RNA", at positions 1 to 51 of the family's 154-position model. From Rfam's summary of the family: 5.8S ribosomal RNA (5.8S rRNA) is a component of the large subunit of the eukaryotic ribosome. The record is from RNAcentral. Lineage: Eukaryota; Fungi; Ascomycota.
UAAAACUUUUAACAACGGAUCUCUUGGUUCUGGCAUCGAUGAAGAACGCAGCAA